UUUCAAGAAAUGCCUUAUGAUGAUGUUUGUGAAACAAGAGAAGGAUUUAGUGGUCCUUGAAACAGUGCUGGGGUUGGCACAACAACGUCGCCAUUGUUUAAUCGGGUGCAUUCCCCUGCCACAAGAAAUUGCUAAACAGGCCCCUCUCUACUUUGAAAAGGCAAUUGAAGAAGCUGAAGAUGAGUGGAGGCAAGCACAAUGCAGAGAAGCUGAUUGAUAAAGUGUGAAGGGGUUGCAUUGUUCAAUUCCCG
Molecule: unclassified non-coding RNA, 251 nt
Filed under: Hevea brasiliensis (rubber tree)
Lineage: Eukaryota; Viridiplantae; Streptophyta; Magnoliopsida; Malpighiales; Euphorbiaceae
Source: RNAcentral